RNAcentral lists this unclassified non-coding RNA (372 nucleotides) under soil metagenome. RNAcentral describes it as "partial contains 5.8S ribosomal RNA, internal transcribed spacer 2, and large subunit ribosomal RNA". The stretch from base 1 to 120 matches the Rfam family "5.8S ribosomal RNA", at positions 35 to 154 of the family's 154-position model. The record is from RNAcentral.
GAUGAAGAACGCAGCGAAAUGCGAUAAGUAAUGUGAAUUGCAGAAUUCAGUGAAUCAUCGAAUCUUUGAACGCACAUUGCGCCCGCCAGCAUUCUGGCGGGCAUGCCUGUUCGAGCGUCAUUUCAACCCUCGCAGCCCAUCUGGGCAGCGGUGUUGGGGACCGGCACCACCGGCGAAGCCCUUAGGGGCCCAGCCGGCGCCGCCCCCGAAAUACAGUGGCGGUCUCGCCGCAGCCUCUCAUGCGCAGUAGUUUGCACAACUCGCACCGGGAGCGCGGCGCGUCCACGUCCGUAAAACACCCAACUUCUGAAAUGUUGACCUCGGAUCAGGUAGGAAUACCCGCUGAACUUAAGCAUAUCAAUAAGCGGAGGA